UGCUAUUGGCCAGUGGUUCACCGCUACAUGCCGGAACCGUUUGAUUUACUUAUCUCGAGUUCUCGACCCAGGAUGGGCUCGCCGUGUUUGCUAGCUCUGGGUGCCGGCUGCCGAGGGCGGAGGGACUGUGCCCUAGCGGUGCACGCUGGCUUCGGUUGUCAAGGGGCAGCGCGACGGCGUGCGGUACGCAUGCGCGCCUGGCCUGGUCGAUGACGGCUCCACGCACGGCGCUGGCUGCUCCAAAAGUGAAGCUCCGACGACGACACCCAGACCCAGAAGCCAGUCGACGCGUCCCACAUUAGCGGCACGGUCCAGGCCGGCGUGCCCGACGCCGGUGCCGUGAUGACGGUGCUCGUCUCAGCAGGCCUUGCUCUUCGGCGGUGCAGGUCAAUGACGGUGAACAAAGCGGAUACGGUGAGUCUUCUUGGGGUGAGGCCGUGCUCAGUCCCUGUGCAACCCCAGACCUUCACCCAUGCCGCCCCAUCUCCACUGGGCCGCCGUUGUUGCUGUUACCGCACAGGCCAACGCUAGUUCUCCAUUGCUCCACCUGAUUCUACACCGCCCACAAGGUGUUCGACAGAUUGUCUCACAUGUUUAUUUUCAAGUGUUAUGUCUUUCACUCUUUGCCGUAAACGCUGACUGACGCAGCACCGUUGCUAAUUGCCUGUGCUCAAAAGUUAAAACACAAAUUGAGCGCCCCCCUCCUACCCGAGCUUCCAGCAGCAUCCUCUUCGUCGUGGUGUCAAUGAAGGUAAGCUUAAUAGUCCAUCCAUCGGAUCUUACGGGCCACUGAAUUUUUUGCAUCUGAAGACUGAAGGUGUUCAUCACCUUGAGCAUUUACUUGUGUUCUCAUGUAUACCAUGUUCAACUGAGGCCAAUGGUUGAAAGAUAUUAUUUGAAAUGUUCCUUGGUUCGUCAGCAGGGCGCACACACUGUGUUUGACGACGACCCCGCUCCUGACCUGCUGUGCAUACCCUGCUUGUAAGAGAGGACCUUUUUAUGUCUAAUUAUUUUCCUGGGAGUUCCUAUGCUGGCAAAGUGGUGAGAUGCAUUCACAUUGGAAAAUUGUAUUGGUCAAAACUCAAAUUGAAGUAGCAGGCUCUGAUCCUCACUGCUUAGCUUUUCUAGAGAGGGUCAAAACUCAAAAGAUCUUUUGUUUUGGAACAUUUGUGUAUUUGGUGAAACCCUGGACAGAAGACCCAAUCCCGAGCUUCAUUUCCAGUUUAGCAGUGGCCGUGUGCGGGAAUGUUGCUUCUUUGAAAGGAUAUGGGGGCAGUAGAAGGUUAAGGAAAAUUUUGCUUUGGGAGAACGCAAAGAGAGAAAAGGGAUGCAAACAGAAGUCUGCUGGCCUGGUACAGUAUUUAACUUCUUGGUUGAUGUUGUUUGUCUAAACCAGCUUACAUGCAGGAUUACUUUUUUUUUCUCUACUGAAGGAGUUAUAAUUAUACUCCGCGGUGUUGCUGCGUUUCAGUUUAAUAGCACCAUAUUCUGUCUUAGGAUUCAGUUCUGUACCUGUUACAUUUAGCAUUUCAACUUGACAACAAGCAUUGCCGAGACAAAGGCUUGAUAAAUAUUGGUUUCUGUGUUGCCAUUUGUUAGGAAUUUAAACAUGACUUACGGCCUAAUAAAGAAAAGAUGCAGGAAGCAGGAGGGAAGAUGACUUUCCCAGUCACACGAUCACUUGUAUUCACAAAAAUGCAGCUUGCCUAUUUGCUUCCUCAGUGUUGGGCAUGCUAUUCCAAUUAACUGAGUAUGGCAUUAUGUGAGCUCAGGUUUUUCUUUUGAAGCAACGAGCCACGUCGUCGAUUUCCAUUAGAGAAACCGACACAUAGACUUGUGCGCCUGAGAUUAGAUGGCUGGUAACCCGUCCAAUUUUGCUUCGGAUCCAGGUGUAUAGCACUUUAACAGUUCCUCUGUUAGUGCUGUUGGGCACCUUUUUGAAUGAUAUGACUCAUAGAUGUGGUUUCUGGCCCGUGUUUACUGCCACAUUUUCUCAACAUAGCAUUAUUCCACUACUGUUUGUGUUGUGGAUGUAUGGCUAGAAAAAAAAUUAUUGUUAUGCAAAUUUGAUAUGUUUCAUGUGGCCAUAUAUUCACAAAAAUUCCUGUAAUUUUAUUGUACAAAAUAGACGGACGUGGCAACAAGCAUCAUCAAUGAUCUAAUAUAUUGAUGUUUCUUAUGUAACUCUCACGGUUUCUGCUACAAACCUUUGGCUUGCAGAAACCAGUAUGAAGGCACGACGGCUGUGCGGCCUCUGCCUCCCGGGAGCCUCUACUUCCCACUUGGAAAGAGAGACAGGUGGCGUCUCGGAAUAGUAGACGCACAUUGGUUGAAAAAUGGAACCUUGAACCGGACCAAACAGGAAGCAGAGAGGGAGAAGAGGAAGAAGCCGGAGGCGAAAGGGAUGGGUGGGCAGAGCCGCAGAGAGAGCAAUCCCCAAAAGCUACCCUCUUCUUUCUCCUCCACAGAACUCGAUUGCCAGGCAUCUUUACUCUGUGCUGCACCUCUUUUCUCCCGUGGACUUGGCCCAUGGACCAUGCUUGUGGCAAUUUUAUUCUCUUUUCUUUUUGAAUUACUGAUAUAGUAGCAGUUUUGAG
This is a long non-coding RNA of Triticum dicoccoides, 2597 nucleotides long. RefSeq lists it as uncharacterized. The record is from RefSeq and is a predicted model, not a curated record. The transcript has 2 exons. Lineage: Eukaryota; Viridiplantae; Streptophyta; Magnoliopsida; Poales; Poaceae.